Molecule: long non-coding RNA, 389 nt
Filed under: Rattus norvegicus (Norway rat)
Lineage: Eukaryota; Metazoa; Chordata; Mammalia; Rodentia; Muridae
Description: long non-coding RNA NONRATT013990
Source: RNAcentral
AUUGAAGUUCUGUCAGAGAUGUUCAAGACAGUUCUUUCCAAUUAUGAGUUGAACUUGUCAGAUAAUAAUGAUUUCCAGAGUUAUCUGUUAUGGUCUUCAGUGUGCAGUACUCUGUGUGUGUGCGUCAACAAUCCUCAAAAUGAUGAGAAUCAACUACUUUGUUGUUCACUUUUUCCAUAUGUAAAUGAAUGGCUAAUGAAUUGCAUGAAAUCUGAGAUAAUUCGACCUAUAUGUUCAUUUAUUGGACUUACUCUUGCAAAUAAUACACAUGUUCAGAACUGCUUUGUGUCUUCCGGUGGACUGGAUGUUUUGUCUCAAGUUCUUGUGCGGCUGGAGUCUGAUUCACACAGUACUUUUUCCAGUGCUAAGCUUGCAGUGGUAGUGAUAAA